UACGGAGGAUGCAAGCGUUAUCCGGAUUCAUUGGGUUUAAAGGGUGCGUAGGCGGGUUUGUAAGUCAAAGGUGAAAGCCUAUAGCUUAACUAUAGAAGUGCCUUUGAUACUGCAGAUCUUGAGUACAGUUGAGGUUGGCGGAAUGUGUAGUGUAGCGGUGAAAUGCAUAGAUAUUACACAGAACACCGAUUGCGAAGGCAGCUAGCUAAACUGUAACUGACGCUGAGGCACGAAAGCGUGGGGAGCAAACAGG
RNAcentral lists this ribosomal RNA (253 nucleotides) under uncultured bacterium. Its description in RNAcentral is "partial 16S ribosomal RNA". It matches the Rfam family "Bacterial small subunit ribosomal RNA", at positions 524 to 776 of the family's 1533-position model. The record is from RNAcentral.